RNAcentral lists this ribosomal RNA (364 nucleotides) under uncultured Pseudomonas sp. Its description in RNAcentral is "bacterial SSU rRNA". It matches the Rfam family "Bacterial small subunit ribosomal RNA", at positions 1020 to 1382 of the family's 1533-position model. Lineage: Bacteria; Pseudomonadati; Pseudomonadota; Gammaproteobacteria; Pseudomonadales; Pseudomonadaceae. The record is from RNAcentral.
CGGGAACGUCUGACACAGGUGCUGCAUGGCUGUCGUCAGCUCGUGUCGUGAGAUGUUGGGUUAAGUCCGUAACGGGCGCAACCCUUGUCCUUAGUUACCAGCACGUUAUGGUGGGCGACUCUAAGGAGACUGCCGGUGGCAAACCGGAGGAAGGUGGGGGAUGACGUCAAGUCAUCAUGGCCCUUACGGCCUGGGCUACACACGUGCUACAAUGGUCGGUACAAAGGGUUGCCAAGCCGCGAGGUGGAGCUAAUCCCAUAAAACCGAUCGUAGUCCGGAUCGCAGUCUGCAACUCGACUGCGUGAAGUCGGAAUCGCUAGUAAUCGUGAAUCAGAAUGUCACGGUGAAUACGUUCCCGGGCCUU